AGCUCCGGGUCUCUUAAUCACGCCCGGUCCCCUAAUUCCGCCGCGUCCUCACUGGCGUCCCCGCCGGCGGCACCGCGCACGCUCUUGCCUUGGGACCGCCGCUCAGGACUGCGCCCGUGCGGGGACGGGCGGGGCGUUGCUGUGGCGACGGCAGGAUGUGGCCCGCGGUCCCCAGAGAGUGUGUUGCAGCGGGCGGGACCCUCUGCGCCUUGGCCCAGUCCCGCACUGCGUCCGCGGGGGUCACAGCCCGGCCGCCACGGGGCCCAUAGGCGGCGUCUGCCGAGCCCCUGCGACAUGCGUGGCCGCGCCCCGCGACUGCUGCCGAGUCAGGAACUGUCGGAUCGCUCCUCGCCGGGUGACUGAGGAAACCGUAAGUGACAGUCGGGCUUUGCCUCAGUGUCCCUCUGAAGAGGUCUCGGUCCCCCUCACAGACAGCAUCUCAGCCUCUCAUGCGUGUCACCCCGGGAGCAGGGGCAGUUCCAGGACCAGGCUCUGCGGGCCGCCACCAGGAGGAGGCGUGACGGGGCCGCGGGAAGCGGUGUACACCAGGGCACAGCAACAAAAAUUCCUACUGCUUUUAAAUUAAAAUGGAAAAAUAUGAGAACCUAGGAUUGGUUGGAGAAGGAAGCUACGGAAUGGUGAUGAAGUGUAGGGAUAAAGAGAGUGGAAGGAUUGUGGCCAUCAAGAAGUUCUUAGAAAGUGACAAUGACAAAAUGGUUAAAAAAAUUGCCAUGCGAGAGAUCAAGUUACUGAAGCAACUGAGGCAUGAGAAUUUGGUGAAUCUGUUGGAAGUGUGUAAGAAGAAAAAAAGAUGGUACCUGGUCUUUGAAUUUGUUGACCACACAAUUCUUGAUGACUUGGAACUCUUUCCAAAUGGACUAGACUACCAAGUAGUCCAAAAAUAUUUAUUUCAGAUUAUUAAUGGAAUUGGCUUUUGUCACAGUCAUAAUAUCAUACACAGGGACAUAAAGCCAGAGAACAUUUUGGUGUCCCAGGCUGGUGUGGUGAAGCUGUGUGACUUUGGGUUUGCGCGAACAUUGGCUGCUCCCGGGGAGGCCUACACUGACUAUGUGGCCACCCGGUGGUACAGGGCACCUGAGCUGCUGGUCGGAGAUGUCAAGUAUGGCAAGGCUGUUGAUGUCUGGGCCAUCGGUUGUUUGGUAACCGAGAUGCUCACAGGGGAGCCACUGUUUCCGGGAGAUUCUGACAUUGACCAGCUCUACCAUAUUAUGAUGUGUUUAGGUAAUUUAAUUCCAAGACACCAGGAGCUGUUUUAUAAAAAUCCUGUGUUUGCUGGAGUACAAUUGCCUGAAAUCCAGGAAAAAGAGCCUCUUGAAAGACGCUACCCUAAGCUCUCUGAAGUUGUGACAGAUUUAACAAAGAAAUGCUUACAUGUUGACCCCGACAAAAGGCCACUGUGUGCCGAGCUCCUGCACCACGCCUUCUUCCAAAUGGACGGGUUUGCUGAGAGAUUCUCCAGGGAACUACAGCUAAAAAUACAGAAAGAUGCCAGGAAUAUUUCUUUGCCUAAAAAAUCCCAAAGCAGAAAGAAGGAAAAGGAAAAAGAUGAAUCUUUAGGUGAAGAAAGAAAAACACUUGUGGUACAGGAUACCAAUGCUGAUACCAAAAUUAAGGAUUCCAAAGUAUUUAAAACAAAAGCAUCAAAAGUUGAUGGAGAGAAAACUGAAAAGGGCACUAGAGCUUCCAAUGCCAGCUGUCUUCGUACCAGUGGGACAAGACACAUCCCGGCAGUGCCCUCAGGCUGCCUUGGGGACCACGGCAGCCAGGCCACCAGGGUCCCUGGGGUGGCCAUCCCCCCGCUGGUGCACACUCCCUCUGCAGCAGCUCCUGGCAGUAACCCUGGAGUCCAGAGUUACAGAGUGGAUGAGAAAACUAAGAAGUAUUGCAUUCCAUUUGUUAAACCAAAUAAACACUCUCCAUCAGGAAUUUAUAAUAAUGUGCCCACAUUGCAGGUCUCCAGUGAGAAGAACCUCCUUCAGGCAAAUAAGAAGCGAGGGGAACAUGCCAAGACAGAGGUGCGGUUGCCUGAACUGAGCUACCGUCAUCUCCCUGAACUGAAAGCCCUGGAAGGCAUGGCUCGAAAUUCUAGACUAAUAAAGAAAGAGAACAAAAUUCUUCCCGAAUCACGAAUACCUUCUCUGGCUGCUAUUGACCUUCACGCCUCCAGCAUGGUGUUGAACCAGGUAUUAGGAUCACCCCUGUCAGAUGACACGGAGGCUGAUUUCCCCCAGGUGGAGCACCAGCACUGAGGACACAGUAGGUCUGGCUGCUCAUAUUUAAAGCCAUGUAACUGUGCACAAGAGCUGUUUUGUGUCUUGCUGAAGAAAUUGGUCAGUGGAAACAUUGUCUGCUGAUUGGCUCUGUAAACUCCUGACAGAGGAGGCAUUGUACCAGAAGUAAUGUUUGUGGUGCUGCAUCUGAGAUAACAUCCUUUUGUGACAGGAGUGCUGAUAUCCUGGGAGGAGAGAUGCAUGCUUUUCUUUCCUUCUGAAUUGCCUGCUUUUUCUGAGAAAGGAGGACAGAAAGGAAAGAAAGAAAAGGAAAGAAAGACAAAGACUUGCAGCCAUUUCACAGGAGGACUGAAGGAGUGCCCCUCCUCCCCUCUUCAGUCUGUUGAUGCUGUUUCAAGAUGUAUCUAAUAAAGAAUAGUGAUAUGGGUCUUGUUACAUGAAUGUUUAUUUACUGUUAGUAGAUUGUUAAAGUUAGCCAAGAUUAAAAGUGAGUAAAAAAGAAAUAUUAUAAAAGGUCAUGUUAUUCAUGCAUUGAACUUUGUGUGCUAUUUGUAUAAAAGCUUACUGUUAAAGAAAAUGAGAAAGCUAGGAUCUGUAAGAAAAAAUGUUUCCCUUAACUAUAAAGGCACACCUGAAAUUCCUGUUUCCUGGCACUGAGGUGCUGUGUAACUGCUGUCCACAGGAGGUGUGGGUCUGUGGUCACGAUGACUGUUGAUGUUCAGUCCAUGUGUGACGGGAAUCGAGGAGAAACCAUGACGUCUUCUGACAGCACAGCUCUGGCCUCACUAUUCUCUGUGUGAGGAGAGUCUGGUGCCAGGGUUCUUUGUAAGGGAGCACAAUUGGAGCAGGGGUGGAGAAAUGUUAAAGGUGUGCCUUGGAGCUGAGUGAGGGGCUACUCAUUAGAAAAAGCAGUGUACGGGCCGGGGAUUUAGCUCAGUGGCACUGUGCCUGCCUUGCAUGCUCAAGAUCCUGAGUUUGAUCCCCAGUACCAGAAAAAGCAGUGUAUGUACAAAAUGAGCUGGAAAGUGGGCAGCCACACUGGGUCAGCUGCUGUUGAAGAACCAGGUGGAAGAGGUUUCUGGAGGGAACCUCUAUUAACCGGACUCCACUCUGUCCAUGGUAGUUGGAGGGUAGUAAUAGAACCCAGAGAAGUUUCAGUUUCCCCGUUACCUCAGACACCUAGGCUUUCCCCAAAGCUUCUCACCAAAGUGCAAAGUCAUUUAUCCACAUUUCUUACACACCUUCUGGUGCGCAGGUCUACAGCUUUGUAGAAUGAUGUUAGAUGAGUUUGGGCCUCAGGUUCCUGGUUUCUGGGGUUCCAGUCAUGCUCUGCUUUUAUCAUGUUUAGAGAACAGUUGUAAUGGGGACCAGAAUUUGUACAGGGUUUUUGGCCUUAGCCAAUUAUAUUGUGGUGUUUUUUCCAAAAGUUAUUGAGUAGGCCUUAGCCCAAUGAUUUAAUUAGAAUUCUUCUUUGUUAUCCUGAGGAGCUUGAUAUUGAAAUUCUGACAUUAGAUACUUGGGCCUCAAAAAAACAAGACCUUCCAGAGGAGGCAAAAUAAAGGGUUUCAAUGUACAAGUCUAUAGAAAGUGAUUCAGUUAAAUUUGGUUUUGGUUUCAAAGCUCUGUCUUCAACCUCUGACAAGGUAUUUCACUAGCUUACCACAGCUAGUAUGCUGGGGUGGGGGGGACUAGUAUUGGUUUUAAUAAGCUUCCUAUUUAAAUAUCAUUUUAUAGGGCCAGGGAUUUAGCUCAGUGGCACCGCGCCUGCCUCACAAGAGCAAGGUCCUGAAUUCAAUCCCCGGUACCAAAAAAAAUUUAUUUUCACUUUGAAAAGUAUUCCCAACAGGCUCUGUGGCAUGGAAAGUGACAAUAUGUAGAACCAAGUGGCACCCCCAGCUUAUUUCAGUUAUGUUUUUAUGUGAAAAAUCAGGAGGAAGAUAUUAGCUUGAUAUCUGAGUGUAGGAUCAGUUGCCUUCUAAUUUCUACCUGGCUUUUAGUAUCUUAGUCUAUUUAAGCAUCUUGUGCACUUUCGAAUUAAGGGACUAAGAAUCAUCCCUUAAGUCCAUGUUGGCACUUAAGGAUCAUAUCUGGUCAGACCCUUGGCUGAAAGACUAGGGAAAGAUUUUGCAAUUUGGAGCUAUAAGCACUGAAUCAAAAUAAUCUCUUUUUAAAAGGAGUUUGUGGUUAUUUAGUCUUUUUAUAAGGGUGGGAUUUAUUCACCUACUAAUAUAAAAUGUGUAUUGGUACUAGUAGGGGGGGGUCAGUGGGCUUGCUGUGUGUAUGAAUGUUUGAAAAUUAAUAAAUGUCUUAGUUCCAUAGAUGAGUUUAAUUUAAUUUAUCUAAUGAAGAGCCUAUAAAUAACAUGUACCACUGUAUGGUCUCUAAUAAAUAAAUUUUAAAUGA
Molecule: RNA transcript, 4655 nt
Organism: Heterocephalus glaber (naked mole-rat)
Lineage: Eukaryota; Metazoa; Chordata; Mammalia; Rodentia; Bathyergidae
Gene: Cdkl2
Gene name: cyclin dependent kinase like 2
Source: RefSeq, a predicted model, not a curated record